UGGGGAAUAUUGCGCAAUGGGCGAAAGCCUGACGCAGCAACGCCGCGUGAGUGAUGAAGGCCUUCGGGUCGUAAAGCUCUGUCGCAGGGAACGAAAACCACCGUUUGAAUAGAGCGGUGGUCUGACGGUACUCUGCAAGAAAGCCCCGGCCAACUCCGUGCCAGCAGCCGCGGUAAGACGGAGGGGGCGAGCGUUGUUCGGAAUUACUGGGCGUAAAGGGCGCGUAGGCGGUCAUGCAAGUCGGGGGUGAAAGCCCACGGCUCAACCGUGGAAUUGCCUUCGAAACUGCGUGACUUGAGUACGGAAGAGGAGAGCGGAAUUCCCAGUGUAGCGGUGAAAUGCGUAGAUAUUGGGAGGAACACCGGUGGCGAAGGCGGCUCUCUGGUCCGAAACUGACGCUGAGGCGCGAAAGCCAGGGGAGCAAACGGG
Molecule: ribosomal RNA, 429 nt
Filed under: uncultured bacterium
Lineage: Bacteria
Description: bacterial SSU rRNA
Rfam family: Bacterial small subunit ribosomal RNA
Source: RNAcentral